CCGUCGUGAAGAGGGAAACAACCCAGACCGCCAGCUAAGGUCCCAAAGUCAUGGUUAAGUGGGAAACGAUGUGGGAAGGCCCAGACAGCCAGGAUGUUGGCUUAGAAGCAGCCAUCAUUUAAAGAAAGCGUAAUAGCUCACUGGUCGAGUCGGCCUGCGCGGAAGAUGUAACGGGGCUAAACCAUGCACCGAAGCUGCGGCAGCGACACUAUGUGUUGUUGGGUAGGGGAGCGUUCUGUAAGCCUGUGAAGGUGGCCUGUGAGGGUUGCUGGAGGUAUCAGAAGUGCGAAUGCUGACAUAAGUAACGAUAAAGCGGGUGAAAAGCCCGCUCGCCGGAAGACCAAGGGUUCCUGUCCAACGUUAAUCGGGGCAGGGUGAGUCGACCCCUAAGGCGAGGCCGAAAGGCGUAGUCGAUGGGAAACAGGUUAAUAUUCCUGUACUUGGUGUUACUGCGAAGGGGGGACGGAGAAGGCUAUGUUGGCCGGGCGACGGUUGUCCCGGUUUAAGCGUGUAGGCUGGUUUUCCAGGCAAAUCCGGAAAACCAAGGCUGAGGCGUGAUGACGAGGCACUACGGUGCUGAAGCGACAAAUGCCCUGCUUCCAGGAAAAGCCUCUAAGCAUCAGGUAACAUCAAAUCGUACCCCAAACCGACACAGGUGGUCAGGUAGAGAAUACCAAGGCGCUUGAGAGAACUCGGGUGAAGGAACUAGGCAAAAUGGUGCCGUAACUUCGGGAGAAGGCACGCUGAUAUGUAGGUGAAGCGACUUGCUCGUGGAGCUGAAAUCAGUCGAAGAUACCAGCUGGCUGCAACUGUUUAUUAAAAACACAGCACUGUGCAAACACGAAAGUGGACGUAUACGGUGUGACGCCUGCCCGGUGCCGGAAGGUUAAUUGAUGGGGUUAGCGGUAACGCGAAGCUCUUGAUCGAAGCCCCGGUAAACGGCGGCCGUAACUAUAACGGUCCUAAGGUAGCGAAAUUCCUUGUCGGGUAAGUUCCGACCUGCACGAAUGGCGUAAUGAUGGCCAGGCUGUCUCCACCCGAGACUCAGUGAAAUUGAACUCGCUGUGAAGAUGCAGUGUACCCGCGGCAAGACGGAAAGACCCCGUGAACCUUUACUAUAGCUUGACACUGAACAUUGAGCCUUGAUGUGUAGGAUAGGUGGGAGGCUUUGAAGUGUGGACGCCAGUCUGCAUGGAGCCGACCUUGAAAUACCACCCUUUAAUGUUUGAUGUUCUAACGUUGGCCCGUAAUCCGGGUUGCGGACAGUGUCUGGUGGGUAGUUUGACUGGGGCGGUCUCCUCCUAAAGAGUAACGGAGGAGCACGAAGGUUGGCUAAUCCUGGUCGGACAUCAGGAGGUUAGUGCAAUGGCAUAAGCCAGCUUGACUGCGAGCGUGACGGCGCGAGCAGGUGCGAAAGCAGGUCAUAGUGAUCCGGUGGUUCUGAAUGGAAGGGCCAUCGCUCAACGGAUAAAAGGUACUCCGGGGAUAACAGGCUGAUACCGCCCAAGAGUUCAUAUCGACGGCGGUGUUUGGCACCUCGAUGUCGGCUCAUCACAUCCUGGGGCUGAAGUAGGUCCCAAGGGUAUGGCUGUUCGCCAUUUAAAGUGGUACGCGAGCUGGGUUUAGAACGUCGUGAGACAGUUCGGUCCCUAUCUGCCGUGGGCGCUGGAGAACUGAGGGGGGCUGCUCCUAGUACGAGAGGACCGGAGUGGACGCAUCACUGGUGUUCGGGUUGUCAUGCCAAUGGCACUGCCCGGUAGCUAAAUGCGGAAGAGAUAAGUGCUGAAAGCAUCUAAGCACGAAACUUGCCCCGAGAUGAGUUCUCCCUGACUCCUUGAGAGUCCUGAAGGAACGUUGAAGACGACGACGUUGAUAGGCCGGGUGUGUAAGCGCAGCGAUGCGUUGAGCUAACCGGUACUAAUGAACCGUGAGGCUUAACCUU
Molecule: ribosomal RNA, 1942 nt
Filed under: Escherichia coli
Lineage: Bacteria; Pseudomonadati; Pseudomonadota; Gammaproteobacteria; Enterobacterales; Enterobacteriaceae
Description: partial 23S ribosomal RNA
Rfam family: Bacterial large subunit ribosomal RNA
Source: RNAcentral